This 653-nucleotide ribosomal RNA is filed under the name uncultured bacterium. Its description in RNAcentral is "bacterial SSU rRNA". It matches the Rfam family "Bacterial small subunit ribosomal RNA", at positions 202 to 842 of the family's 1533-position model. The record is from RNAcentral.
AAAAGGUGGCUAUGCUACCGCUUUUGGAUGGGCCCGCGGCGCAUUAGCUAGUUGGUGGGGUAAAGGCUUACCAAGGCAAUGAUGCGUAGCCGAAUUGAGAGGUUGAUCGGCCACAUUGGGACUGAGACACGGCCCAAACUCCUACGGGAGGCAGCAGUAGGGAAUCUUCCACAAUGGGCGAAAGCCUGAUGGGGCAACGCCGCGUGGGUGAAGAAGGUCUUCGGAUCGUAAAACCCUGUUGUUAGAGAAGAAAGUGCGUGAGAGUAACUGUUCACGUUUCGACGGUAUCUAACCAGAAAGCCACGGCUAACUACGUGCCAGCAGCCGCGGUAAUACGUAGGUGGCAAGCGUUAUCCGGAUUUAUUGGGCGUAAAGGGAACGCAGGCGGUCUUUUAAGUCUGAUGUGAAAGCCUUCGGCUUAACCGGAGUAGUGCAUUGGAAACUGGGAGACUUGAGUGCAGAAGAGGAGAGUGGAACUCCAUGUGUAGCGGUGAAAUGCGUAGAUAUAUGGAAGAACACCAGUGGCGAAAGCGGCUCUCUGGUCUGUAACUGACGCUGAGGUUCGAAAGCGUGGGUAGCAAACAGGAUUAGAUACCCUGGUAGUCCACGCCGUAAACGAUGAAUGCUAAGUGUUGGAGGGUUUCCGCCCUUCA